GAACGGUAAUAGAAUAUCAAUAUUUGUACAGCGCUUUAUUCUUACAAUAAGUAACCUUAUAGAGCUCUGUGCGAUUUGAAUAGCAAGACGAACGUAAAUUCUAAGAAGAAAUCAAAUCAAUUUACAAAAGAGUGGAGGAAAAACAAUCGUGAUCUACUGGAUAGCGGUUGUCAAGUGAGCAAAAUAUCAGCUUUUUAAAACUAAUUAAGAUAAAAUCUCGUGAAAUUUUUCCGCAUAACGCACAGGAAAUCGCCGAGAUGUUUAGCAAUUUACGGAAAGUGGAAAGAAACUUGAAAACAAUUGAUUGGGCAGUGUCUACUAUUUUAAAAGAAAAAGCAAAAAAUGUGGAAACAUCACGUGACUUUCCAAAGAGAAAAGAUUGUCAAUUAGAUCAAAAAGGGUUAAAGUGAUCACAGAAAUCAUGAUUCAAGCAAGGCCAACAAGUUUAAACGAAAAAGUAUAUAUUAAAUGAACACUAGUGUAAUUAUUAACAAUGAUAAAUUCGUAAUAAAAAUACUUCCACUAACCUGCUGUAUUUUAAUUUGCCGCCAAAAAUUAUCAUACGACAGUUUCUGGAUGAGGUUUUCCGUCUA
Xenia sp. Carnegie-2017 is the source of this 593-nucleotide long non-coding RNA. RefSeq lists it as uncharacterized. NCBI's taxonomy places the organism in Eukaryota, Metazoa, Cnidaria, Anthozoa, Malacalcyonacea, Xeniidae. The record is from RefSeq and is a predicted model, not a curated record. The transcript has 3 exons.